GAGCCGAGGGACCGAAAGGAGAAGGUGGAGCGAGCAUGGUAGGUAAUCGUAUGGCGGAAGGAUAAUAACCCACAAGGGAGCUUAACGAGGCUCCUGAUCCUCGAAAUGGCAAAUAGAGGAGACGGUCUUCAUUCUUUAUAUGGAGACCUCGUGAACACCAAUCGGUGUCAUGCGACAGAUGAAUGUCAUGUAACUCCCCGGGAUGAGUACAUCCUUUGUGUACGGGGCGAUGAGGUGCUUUGAGAUAAGCGGCGUACACAUACA
RNAcentral lists this small RNA (264 nucleotides) under Anaerosporobacter mobilis. RNAcentral describes it as "Clostridiales-3 RNA". It matches the Rfam family "Clostridiales-3 RNA". The record is from RNAcentral. Lineage: Bacteria; Bacillati; Bacillota; Clostridia; Lachnospirales; Lachnospiraceae.